This 262-nucleotide ribosomal RNA is filed under the name uncultured bacterium. RNAcentral describes it as "partial 16S ribosomal RNA". It matches the Rfam family "Bacterial small subunit ribosomal RNA", at positions 524 to 785 of the family's 1533-position model. The record is from RNAcentral.
CACGUAGGGGGCAAGCGUUGUUCGGAAUUACUGGGCGUAAAGGGCAUGUAGGCGGCUUUGUAAGCUUGGCGUGAAAUUCCACGGCUUAACCGUGGGAAUGCGUUGAGAACUGCGAGGCUUGAGUUAUGGAGAGGGAGCUAGAAUUCCUGGUGUAGGGGUGGAAUCUGUAGAGAUCAGGAAGAAUACCAAUGGCGAAGGCAAGCUCCUGGCCAAUAACUGACGCUGAGGUGCGAAAGUGUGGGGAUCAAACAGGAUUAGAACU